AACUGGAGUGAUGAAAACUAUGCCUUAGGUGGGUGCUGAAGACUGUUUUGGUUUUCAUCACACUCACCGAUGCAAGGGGUUGUCAUAGUUACACUGACCAUUU
This is a small nucleolar RNA of Varanus komodoensis (Komodo dragon), 103 nucleotides long. The record is from Ensembl. NCBI's taxonomy places the organism in Eukaryota, Metazoa, Chordata, Lepidosauria, Squamata, Varanidae.